AACGAACGCUGGCGGCAUGCCUAACACAUGCAAGUCGAACGAGACCUUCGGGUCUAGUGGCGCACGGGUGCGUAACGCGUGGGAACCUGCCCUUAGGUUCGGAAUAACUCCCCGAAAGGGGUGCUAAUACCGGAUAAUGUCUUCGGACCAAAGAUUUAUCGCCAUUGGAUGGGCCCGCGUUGGAUUAGCUAGUUGGUAGGGCAAAAGCCUACCAAGGCGACGAUCCAUAGCUGGUCUGAGAGGAUGAUCAGCCACACUGGGACUGAGACACGGCCCAGACUCCUACGGGAGGCAGCAGUGGGGAAUAUUGGACAAUGGGCGAAAGCCUGAUCCAGCAAUGCCGCGUGAGUGAUGAAGGCCUUAGGGUUGUAAAGCUCUUUUACCCGGGAUGAUAAUGACAGUACCGGGAGAAUAAGCUCCGGCUAACUCCGUG
This 433-nucleotide ribosomal RNA is filed under the name uncultured bacterium. Its description in RNAcentral is "partial 16S ribosomal RNA". It matches the Rfam family "Bacterial small subunit ribosomal RNA", at positions 29 to 507 of the family's 1533-position model. The record is from RNAcentral.